GCAAGUCGAACGGGAUUUUUAGAAGCUUGCUUCUGAAAUGAGAGUGGCAGACGGGUGCGUAACACGUGGGAACCAACCCAAAAGUGGGGGAUAGCUCGCUGAAAAGCGAAUUAAUACCGCAUGUGGUCGAAAGACCAAAGAAGGCUUUUGCUUUCGCUUUUGGACGGGCCCGCGCCCUAUCAGCUUGUUGGUGAGGUAAAAGCUCACCAAGGCUACGACGGGUAACUGAUCUUAGAGGAUGAUC
Molecule: ribosomal RNA, 244 nt
Filed under: uncultured bacterium
Lineage: Bacteria
Description: partial 16S ribosomal RNA
Rfam family: Bacterial small subunit ribosomal RNA
Source: RNAcentral